Diabrotica virgifera virgifera (western corn rootworm) is the source of this 1083-nucleotide long non-coding RNA. RefSeq lists it as uncharacterized. Lineage: Eukaryota; Metazoa; Arthropoda; Insecta; Coleoptera; Chrysomelidae. The transcript is spliced from 2 exons. The record is from RefSeq and is a predicted model, not a curated record.
UUAAAUACAGGCGGCCUGUAUUUUAUUAAAAGACAAAAAUAAAAGACGCAAUACUGCGCAUGCUUAUAUGUCAAAAUAAAGGAUCUUUUAUUACAGGUCGACUUAAAAGACGUUGGCAAUAGAGAGAUAUCGAAACUGGGAGUUAAAAGUUCCUUUAUUACAGGAUCUUUUAAUAAAGGACAAAUACAGGACAUGUGUAAUGAGAGUUAUCGAAAAGCAGUUUUAAGGGAUCUUUUAUUUUGACAAAUGACAUUAAAUAUUUUUGUAAAUAUAAAAAUAACCUAUAAAAUUCUAUUUGUAAUCUCGUAUAAAUAAGACCAUAGAAGAGUGAAUAAGACCUUAUUAUAGAGAUAAAAAUUAAAAUAAGAGUAAGAACAAGACAAUUAAGAAUAAGAUCAUUGAAAAGAGUAAAAUGUUGAAUUUAAUUAUUUUGUCAUUUAAAGAACAACAUAAACCAUAGUACAACAUGAAAGUGAAAUUAGAAAUACUAUGUUAUAAGGGAGUUGUUAAAUACUUUUGCAUAUUAUGGGUAUACGAAAUGGAGAAUUUAUGGACAAUGUAUCUGUUAGGGAGCAGUUGAAGUGCUGUGUAAUUAAUCACAAAUUGCUUCAAGAGCUGUUAUUGAAAGAACAUUUUGUAUUUUGAAGAGAAUAUUUCCAAUAUUAAUAUGUGAAAUAAGAUGCAAGUUAUAUUUAAAGAAUAAUAUGAGCUUGUUCAGUUUUACUAGUUUUACAGUUUCAUUGAAAUUUGCACUAACAAAUAUGAAGGUGGUGCGAUUUAAUCGAACAAGCUUUGUUGUUUAUUUGGGUUUAUAUGACUGCGGACACUAAAUCCAUUCGCCAAAUCGAACAAGCUGUGGCAGUACAUUUUCUAACAGGAGCAAAUCUAGUGCAACUACAUUUUGUGUGUGUUUGUGUUAAAAUUAUUCGCAAUUUAAGGCAAGUUUAAAUGGUUAAUGUUGAUAAUUUUAUUUUUAUUGGACAAAAAGUUAUAAAUAAAUAGGUAUAGUAUAUAUAGUUUAAUAUUGGUGUCUGAUUUUAAGUAUUUUAUUAUUAGCAGUUUUUUAAUAAAUUUAUAAAUACA